RNAcentral lists this long non-coding RNA (722 nucleotides) under Homo sapiens (human). RNAcentral's name for it is "HSALNT0062341". Lineage: Eukaryota; Metazoa; Chordata; Mammalia; Primates; Hominidae. The record is from RNAcentral.
GUGAAUCAUGGGUCAGAGACCCUGUGAGAAAUUAUGAUAGCCUUUCAUUCAGCAUCAGUUCUAUUCAGAUGCAGAGUGGUUAGCCACUUCUGAACUUUGCAACUGUAUCAUCAGCAGCUAGAUAUUGAGCCUCUACUGUUUGGAAAGUCAUACUGUAGCUCGAUAAACACUGGGUAUGGCACUUGUGAGAGCCAGGGCUUAAUAGCAGAAGGCAAAUAACCAUAUAAAGCAAUAUCAUUUGUCCUGGGUGAGAAGUCCUAAAGAUGUGCAGAGGUGGACAAUCAGACGUUGAAAUGACUAAAGAAGUCUUCAUGGAUGAGUGGACAAACUGAACUUUAAACACAAAGUAGUAUUUGAAUAAGUGGAGGUGGAGAGUGUUCUGGACUGUUACAUUACAGAAAUGGAAUCAUAUAUACCUAGAGGCUGGAAAGUUUAAGGCAUCUUUGGAGAAAAUUUAGAUUAUUGGAUUUAACCAUAUGAAAUUGCUGUUCUUAUAGGUAAGAAAUGGUCAAAUAUCACCAAGUGCACAAGACUCAAGACUGGCAUAGUAGAAGACAAAGGUGGAUAUAUGGGAAUUAGUAAAUAAGCUGAAAAUGUGAAGUCAUGCAAAGAUUUGUUUGAAAAGCAAAACGUUUCAAUAAAAGGUCUUCCUGGAUUAAGAAUCUAAGUAUGAUUUUCAUGAACCACCACCACUAAAGAUCAGAUAAUAUUAUUCAUGCUGC